CAUUACUGAGUUUACGCUCUACAACCCUUUGUGAACAUACCUAUAACUGUUGCUUCGGCGGGUAGGGUCUCCGCGACACUCCCGGCCUCCCGCCCCCGGGCGGGUCGGCGCCCGCCGGAGGAUAACCAAACUCUGAUGUAACGACGUUUCUUCUGAGUGGUACAAGCAAAUAAUCAAAACUUUUAACAACGGAUCUCUUGGUUCUGGCAUCGAUGAAGAACGCAGCGAAAUGCGAUAAGUAAUGUGAAUUGCAGAAUUCAGUGAAUCAUCGAAUCUUUGAACGCACAUUGCGCCCGCCAGCAUUCUGGCGGGCAUGCCUGUUCGAGCGUCAUUUCAACCCUCAAGCUCUGCUUGGUGUUGGGGCCCUACAGCUGAUGUAGGCCCUCAAAGGUAGUGGCGGACCCUCCCGGAGCCUCCUUUGCGUAGUAACUUUACGUCUCGCACUGGGAUCCGGAGGGACUCUUGCCGUAAAACCCCCAAUUCUCCAAAGGUUGACCUCGGAUCAGGUAGGAAUACCC
Molecule: ribosomal RNA, 518 nt
Filed under: Colletotrichum gloeosporioides
Lineage: Eukaryota; Fungi; Ascomycota; Sordariomycetes; Glomerellales; Glomerellaceae
Description: eukaryotic LSU rRNA
Rfam family: 5.8S ribosomal RNA (bases 178-331)
Source: RNAcentral